Molecule: long non-coding RNA, 293 nt
Filed under: Capsicum annuum
Lineage: Eukaryota; Viridiplantae; Streptophyta; Magnoliopsida; Solanales; Solanaceae
Description: long non-coding RNA (CANN_LNC020301)
Source: RNAcentral
UUGUGAGGUAGCCCUUUGUGUUGACUCCAGCCAUACAAAUACACUUGAUCUCUAUCAGAAAGUACAACAAUGAGCUAAAGAACAACUACCAACUUGAAGGAGCAAGAAAUCUUUAUUAAGCUUCUUCAUUGUGAUAGUUGUUUGGAAGUGGGGGCCUAAAUGUUUUUUGGUGCACACAGGACCAAUGCAUAAUCAUGUCUGGAGCUCGAAAUUUUUCAUGUCAUAGGGAAUUUUAAACUAGAAAUGCAGUGGAAGUUAUGCAUGCUCAAUAGAAACAAGGAGCAAGAAAUUAG